Molecule: ribosomal RNA, 926 nt
Filed under: uncultured bacterium
Lineage: Bacteria
Description: bacterial SSU rRNA
Rfam family: Bacterial small subunit ribosomal RNA
Source: RNAcentral
GGAUCCAGACUUUGAUUCUGGCUCAGGAUGAACGCUAGCUACAGGCUUAACAACAUGCAAGUCGAGGGGAAACGACAUCGAAAAGCUUGCUUUUGAUGGGCGUCGACCGGCGCACGGGUGAGUAACGCGUAUCCAACCUGCCCCACCACUUGGGGAUAACCUUGCGAAAGUAAGACUAAUACCCAAUGAUAUCUCUAGAAGACAUCUGAAAGAGAUUAAAGAUUUAUCGGUGAUGGAUGGGGAUGCGUCUGAUUAGCUUGUUGGCGGGGUAACGGCCCACCAAGGCAACGAUCAGUAGGGGUUCUGAGAGGAAGGUCCCCCACAUUGGAACUGAGACACGGUCCAAACUCCUACGGGAGGCAGCAGUGAGGAAUAUUGGUCAAUGGACGAGAGUCUGAACCAGCCAAGUAGCGUGCAGGAUGACGGCCCUAUGGGUUGUAAACUGCUUUUAUAAGGGAAUAAAGUGAGUCUCGUGAGACUUUUUGCAUGUACCUUAUGAAUAAGGACCGGCUAAUUCCGUGCCAGCAGCCGCGGUAAUACGGAAGGUCCGGGCGUUAUCCGGAUUUAUUGGGUUUAAAGGGAGCGUAGGCCGGAGAUUAAGCGUGUUGUGAAAUGUAGACGCUCAACGUCUGCACUGCAGCGCGAACUGGUUUCCUUGAGUACGCACAAAGUGGGCGGAAUUCGUGGUGUAGCGGUGAAAUGCUUAGAUAUCACGAAGAACUCCGAUUGCGAAGGCAGCUCACUGGAGCGCAACUGACGCUGAAGCUCGAAAGUGCGGGUAUCGAACAGGAUUAGAUACCCUGGUAGUCCGCACGGUAAACGAUGGAUGCCCGCUGUUGGUCUGAAUAGGUCAGCGGCCAAGCGAAAGCAUUAAGCAUCCCACCUGGGGAGUACGCCGGCAACGGUGAAACUCAAAUGAAUUGACG